GCCAGACUCCUACGGGAGGCAGCAGUGGGGGAUAUUGCACAAUGGGGGGAACCCUGAUGCAGCGACGCCGCGUGGGUGAAGGAGCGUUUCGGCGCGUAAAGCCCUAUCGGCAAGGAAGAAGGAGGACGGUACCUGACUAAGAAGCCCCGGCUAACUACGUGCCAGCAGCCGCGGUAAUACGUAGGGGGCAAGCGUUAUCCGGAUUUACUGGGUGUAAAGGGGGCGCAGACGGCAGCGCAAGCCAGGAGUGAAAGCCCGGGGCCCAACCCCGGGACUGCUCUUGGAACUGCGCGGCUGGAGUGCAGGAGGGGCAGGCGGAAUUCCUGGUGUAGCGGUGAAAUGCGUAGAUAUCAGGAGGAACACCGGUGGCGAAGGCGGCCUGCUGGACUGCGACUGACGUUGAGGCCCGAAAGCGUGGGGAGCAAACAGGAUUAGAUACCCUUGUAC
This 447-nucleotide ribosomal RNA is filed under the name uncultured bacterium. Its description in RNAcentral is "partial 16S ribosomal RNA". It matches the Rfam family "Bacterial small subunit ribosomal RNA", at positions 330 to 793 of the family's 1533-position model. The record is from RNAcentral.